Molecule: microRNA, 22 nt
Filed under: Anolis carolinensis (green anole)
Lineage: Eukaryota; Metazoa; Chordata; Lepidosauria; Squamata; Anolidae
Description: Aca-Mir-875_3p* (star (passenger))
Source: RNAcentral
CCUGGAAGUACUGAGGUUGAGU